GUGGGGAAUAUUGGACAAUGGGCGCAAGCCUGAUCCAGCAAUGCCGCGUGAGUGAUGAAGGCCUUAGGGUCGUAAAGCUCUUUUACCCGGGAUGAUAAUGACAGUACCGGGAGAAUAAGCUCCGGCUAACUCCGUGCCAGCAGCCGCGGUAAUACGGAGGGAGCUAGCGUUGUUCGGAAUUACUGGGCGUAAAGCGCGCGUAGGCGGUUAUUCAAGUCAGAGGUGAAAGCCCGGGGCUCAACCCCGGAACUGCCUUUGAAACUAGAUGACUAGAAUCUUGGAGAGGUCAGUGGAAUUCCGAGUGUAGAGGUGAAAUUCGUAGAUAUUCGGAAGAACACCAGUGGCGAAGGCGACUGACUGGACAAGUAUUGACGCUGAGGUGCGAAAGCGUGGGGAGCAAACAGGAUUAGAUACCCUAGUAGUCC
RNAcentral lists this ribosomal RNA (425 nucleotides) under uncultured Novosphingobium sp. RNAcentral's name for it is "bacterial SSU rRNA". It matches the Rfam family "Bacterial small subunit ribosomal RNA", at positions 354 to 796 of the family's 1533-position model. The record is from RNAcentral. Lineage: Bacteria; Pseudomonadati; Pseudomonadota; Alphaproteobacteria; Sphingomonadales; Sphingomonadaceae.